This 370-nucleotide ribosomal RNA is filed under the name uncultured organism. RNAcentral's name for it is "bacterial SSU rRNA". It matches the Rfam family "Bacterial small subunit ribosomal RNA", at positions 526 to 896 of the family's 1533-position model. The record is from RNAcentral.
CGAAGGGGGCUAGCGUUGUUCGGAAUUACUGGGCGUAAAGCGCGUGUAGGCGGUUGCCAUAGUCAGGUGUGAAAGCCUUGAGCUCAACUCAAGAAAUGCACUUGAUACUGGGCGACUAGAGGACCGGAGAGGAUAGUGGAAUUCCCAGUGUAGUGGUGAAAUACGUAGAGAUUGGGAAGAACACCAGUGGCGAAGGCGGCUAUCUGGACGGUUUCUGACGCUAAGACGCGAAAGCGUGGGGAGCAAACAGGAUUAGAUACCCUGGUAGUCCACGCCGUAAACGAUGGGUGCUAGACGUUGGCGAGCUUGCUCGUCAGUGUCGCAGCUAACGCGUUAAGCACCCCGCCUGGGGAGUACGGCCGCAAGGUUG